This 378-nucleotide ribosomal RNA is filed under the name Planktothrix agardhii Os-Bul-S1. RNAcentral describes it as "bacterial SSU rRNA". It matches the Rfam family "Bacterial small subunit ribosomal RNA", at positions 20 to 425 of the family's 1533-position model. Lineage: Bacteria; Bacillati; Cyanobacteriota; Cyanophyceae; Oscillatoriales; Microcoleaceae. The record is from RNAcentral.
UGGCUCAGGAUGAACGCUGGCGGUCUGCUUAACACAUGCAAGUCGAACGGAAUCCUUAGGGAUUUAGUGGCGGACGGGUGAGUAACACGUAAGAACCUGCCUCUAGGACGGGGACAACAGUUGGAAACGACUGCUAAACCCGGAUGAGCCGAAAGGUAAAAGAUUAAUCGCCUAGAGAGGGGCUUGCGUCUGAUUAGCUAGUUGGUGAGGUAAGAGCCCACCAAGGCGACGAUCAGUAGCUGGUCUGAGAGGAUGAUCAGCCACACUGGGACUGAGACACGGCCCAGACUCCUACGGGAGGCAGCAGUGGGGAAUUUUCCGCAAUGGGCGAAAGCCUGACGGAGCAAGACCGCGUGGGGGAGGAAGGUUCUUGGAUUG